This 415-nucleotide ribosomal RNA is filed under the name Leucosporidium creatinivorum. Its description in RNAcentral is "partial large subunit ribosomal RNA". It matches the Rfam family "Eukaryotic large subunit ribosomal RNA", at positions 180 to 609 of the family's 3401-position model. Lineage: Eukaryota; Fungi; Basidiomycota; Microbotryomycetes; Leucosporidiales; Leucosporidiaceae. The record is from RNAcentral.
UACAAGUCUGUUGGAAUACAGCGUCAUAGUGGUGAGAACCCCGUAACUGAUGCGGAUGCCCGGUGCUUUGUGAUAUACUUUCGAAGAGUCGAGUUGUUUGGGAAUGCAGCUCAAAUUGGGUGGUAAAUUCCAUCUAAAGCUAAAUAUUGGAGCAAGACCGAUAGCGAACAAGUACCGUGAGGGAAAGAUGAAAAGCACUUUGGAAAGAGAGUUAACAGUACGUGAAAUUGUUGGAAGGGAAACGCUUGAAGUCAGACUUGCUAUUCGGAGUUCAGCCGCAAGGUGUAUUCUUCGAUUUGCAGGCCAGCAUCAGUUUUUGGGGGUGGAAAAUCGUGGUUUGAAGGUAGCAGUUUCGGCUGUGUUAUAGCUUUCCACUGGAUUCAUCUUCGGGGACUGAGGAACGCAGUACGCUUUU